UGUCCAGCAACUCCUAUCCCUACUUCCGCGUGGUACCGGCUGGAAACUACGAGCAACCUUAGAGAAGAUCGGGUAACCAACCCCGGUGGGAAUUUUGGUCGUAGCGUAGCCUGACAGGGAAGA
Aedes albopictus (Asian tiger mosquito) is the source of this 123-nucleotide non-coding RNA. Lineage: Eukaryota; Metazoa; Arthropoda; Insecta; Diptera; Culicidae. The record is from Rfam.